CCUCAAGAAAGUGCAAGAUAUUUUCUGGCAGUACUAUCUCCAUAAUUCAACUUGGCUUUUGGUGAUAAUAACUGGGCGACAUGUAAAUAUGACCAAACGCCCUCGACCUAUUCUCAAACUUUAAAUAGGUAGGACGGCGCGGCUGCUACGUUGAGCCGCGCCACGGAAUCGAGAGCUCCAAGUGGGCCAUUUUUGGUAAGCAAAACUGGCGAUGCCGGAUGAACCGGAAGCCGGGUUACGGUGCCCAACUGCGCGCUAACCUAGAACCCACAAAGGGCGUUGGUCGAUUAAGACAGCAGGACGGUGGUCAUGGAAGUCGAAAUCCGCUAAGGAGUGUGUAACAACUCACCUGCCGAAUCAACUAGCCCCGAAAAUGGAUGGCGCUGAAGCGCGCGACCCACACCCGGCCGUCGGGGCAAUCGUUAGGCCCCGAUGAGUAGGAGGGCGCGGCGGUGGCUGCGAAACCCACGGCGCGAGCCGGGGCGGAGCCUCCGUCGGUG
This 500-nucleotide non-coding RNA is filed under the name Macleaya cordata. Its description in RNAcentral is "Eukaryotic large subunit ribosomal RNA". It matches the Rfam family "Eukaryotic large subunit ribosomal RNA", at positions 971 to 1444 of the family's 3401-position model. Lineage: Eukaryota; Viridiplantae; Streptophyta; Magnoliopsida; Ranunculales; Papaveraceae. The record is from Rfam by way of RNAcentral.